RNAcentral lists this ribosomal RNA (478 nucleotides) under uncultured bacterium. RNAcentral describes it as "partial 16S ribosomal RNA". It matches the Rfam family "Bacterial small subunit ribosomal RNA", at positions 28 to 507 of the family's 1533-position model. The record is from RNAcentral.
GAUGAACGCUGGCGGCGUGCAUAACACAUGCAAGUCGAGCGAUGAGACGUGACUGACUUCUUCGGGAUGAUUUAGAGCGGAUUAGUGGCGAACGGUUGAUUAACUCGUUAUUAACCUGCCUUACACAAGGGGAUAGCCUCUGGAAACGGAGAAUAAUACCCUAUCAAACCAUACAAUCGCAUGAUAAUCUGUUCAAAAUGUUUAUUGGUGUAAGAUGGACGUGCGUCUGAUUAGCUAGUAUGUGAGAUAAACGCUCACCAAGGCAACGAUCAGUAGCCGGAUUGAGAGAGUGUACGGGAACCUUGGGACUGAGACAAGGACCAGACCCUCAGGGGAGGGAGAAGUGGGGAAUGAUGAACAAUGGGGGAAACACUGAUGCCGCGAGGCCGUGUGAUUUAGAAGGUAUUCGGGUUGUAAAAAUCUUUUGUAUAGGAAGAACAUGACAGUACUAUACGAAUAAGAUACGGCUAAUUACGUG